CGGACGGGUGAGUAAUGCCUAGGAAUCUGCCUGGUAGUGGGGGACAACGUUUCGAAAGGAACGCUAAUACCGCAUACGUCCUACGGGAGAAAGCAGGGACCUUCGGGCCUUGCGCUAUCAGAUGAGCCUAGGUCGGAUUAGCUAGUUGGUGAGGUAAUGGCUCACCAAGGCGACGAUCCGUAACUGGUCUGAGAGGAUGAUCAGUCACACUGGAACUGAGACACGGUCCAGACUCCUACGGGAGGCAGCAGAU
This 253-nucleotide ribosomal RNA is filed under the name uncultured Pseudomonas sp. RNAcentral describes it as "partial 16S ribosomal RNA". It matches the Rfam family "Bacterial small subunit ribosomal RNA", at positions 99 to 354 of the family's 1533-position model. Lineage: Bacteria; Pseudomonadati; Pseudomonadota; Gammaproteobacteria; Pseudomonadales; Pseudomonadaceae. The record is from RNAcentral.